UGCAAGUCGAACGCGUGUAGCAAUACACGAGUGGCGCACGGGUGAGUAACGCGUGGAUAUCUGCCUUUUGGUUCGGAAUAACCCCGGGAAACUGGGGCUAAUACCGGAUGGUUCCUUCGGGAUAAAGAUUUAUCGCCAAAAGAUGAGUCCGCGUACGAUUAGCUAGUUGGUGAGGUAAUGGCUCACCAAGGCGACGAUCGUUAGCUGGUCUGAGAGGACGAUCAGCCACACUGGGACUGAGACACGGCCCAGACUCCUACGGGAGGCAGCAGUGGGGAAUAUUGGACAAUGGGGGCAACCCUGAUCCAGCCAUGCCGCGUGAGUGAUGAAGGCCUUCGGGUUGUAAAGCUCUUUUGGCGGGGACGAUGAUGACGGUACCCGCAGAAUAAGCCCCGGCUAACUUCGUGCCAGCAGCCGCGGUAAGACGAAGGGGGCUAGCGUUGUUCGGAAUUACUGGGCGUAAAGCGAGUGUAGGUGGUUGUCCAAGUUGGAUGUGAAAGCCUUGAGCUCAACUCAAGAAAUGCAUUCAGGACUGGGCGGCUAGAGGACCGGAG
This 554-nucleotide ribosomal RNA is filed under the name Azospirillum sp. Is-B220. RNAcentral describes it as "bacterial SSU rRNA". It matches the Rfam family "Bacterial small subunit ribosomal RNA", at positions 56 to 654 of the family's 1533-position model. Lineage: Bacteria; Pseudomonadati; Pseudomonadota; Alphaproteobacteria; Rhodospirillales; Azospirillaceae. The record is from RNAcentral.